GUAGGGUGGGCAAGCGUUGUCCGGAAUUAUUGGGCGUAAAGCGCGCGCAGGCGGUCCUUUAAGUCUGAUGUGAAAGCCCACGGCUCAACCGUGGAGGGUCAUUGGAAACUGGGGGACUUGAGUACAGAAGAGGAAAGCGGAAUUCCAAGUGUAGCGGUGAAAUGCGUAAAGAUUUGGAGGAACACCAGUGGCGAAGGCGGCUUUCUGGUCUGUAACUGACGCUGAGGCGCGAAAGCGUGGGGAGCAAACAGGAUUAGAUACCCUGGUAGUCCACGCCGUAAACGAUGAGUGCUAAGUGUUAGGGGGUUUCCGCCCCUUAGUGCUGCAGCUAACGCAUUAAGCACUCCGCCUGGGGAGUACGGCCGCAAGGCUG
This 373-nucleotide ribosomal RNA is filed under the name uncultured organism. RNAcentral describes it as "partial 16S ribosomal RNA". It matches the Rfam family "Bacterial small subunit ribosomal RNA", at positions 525 to 896 of the family's 1533-position model. The record is from RNAcentral.